ACGAUUAGCCCCAUUUCACAGAUGAGGAAACUCAGGCUCAAAGGAAAUUGAUUGCUUGCCCUGGGUCUCACUGCCGGAAGGAGGCAGAGUUGAAACUUGACCCCAAGUGCGGCUGAUUCUAAAGCCUGUGACUCUUUUGUUUUUGUUUUUGUUUUUGUUUUAAAGACGGAGUCUUGCUGUGUUGCCCAGGCUGGAGUGCAGUGGCAUGAUCUCUGUUCACUUCAACCUCCGCCUCCUGAGUUCAAGCGAUUCUCCUGCCUCAGCUUCCAAAGCAGCUGAACUACAGCAGGGAUGACGGCGCUCCUGGAGGCUGGCUGGGAAGCUGGUCAGGGUCCCAGGACUCUGACACCCCCAAUGGCCCUUGUAGCCUUGGGGAGUCCUGUGAUCCAAGGCUGGAGGACUGAGUCCCCUCCAGGUCUCAUAGCAGACGAAUAGCAGCUUCACCCAGGCCUGUUUUGUCGUGGCCCCAUUCAGAGGCCGCCCUCCUCUGUGGUUUAGAGCGUGCCCUGGAAUCCCUAGCACAGCCAGGUGACGAGAGUUCCCCGCUG
Molecule: small RNA, 548 nt
Filed under: Pan troglodytes (chimpanzee)
Lineage: Eukaryota; Metazoa; Chordata; Mammalia; Primates; Hominidae
Description: retained intron
Source: RNAcentral